AAAAGGAAAACAGAGGAGAGGGACCACUGGAUAUAACAAUAACGUGCUGUUUCAAAAUGGCGAUGUUUGGAAACGCUAGAGUUUUACUUUGAAAGUCUACCCGGACGUUGCAUAUUUGUUGUUACUAAGCGUUGCUAACUUGACCGCGGAGACUACACGUCUAAAAAUGACGCCAAAGGGCCUUGACCAAGCGUCAAAUAUGUGACGAGUCGGAGGAAGCUUUCACCUUUCACAACGAUGCUGGCGCAGAACUACAGCUGGAACCUUUCAGAAAUAUUCUGAAUGUAUACGGGAAACAGAAAAAUAACCCUGCACCGCUGGACUGAGCUGAGUGUACCUGCAGGACAUCAGAUCAGCUGUAACCAAUGACAACUGGAGGAUUCAGAGUGUCCUCCACGCCGGGUUAAAGCUCUUGUGUCAGCCCCAGCUGUCUGCGGAGGAGAGCGUCUCUGUGAAUAGACCUUCCCCGUGCGCUGAUGAGCCGAAACAUCCGACGUGAGAAAAGAGCAGGUGUCAAUAAUAACAUUAAUGAUCGCUCCGUUCCUUUUAGACAAAAUAAAUCAGAAGCAGCCUAUUCACUGUGCUUUCCCUUUAAGAAGUAAAAGAUUUAAGGGACUAGAUAGAAUGAUAUAAAUCUUUCUCUCAUAUCUUCUUUAUUCACCUUCUUUCCUCGCUGUGAGGACUUUGUCCCAUUACCUGCUCCUACAGUGCCAAAUGAUUGACUCCCUCUGUUUAUCCACUUUAAUCUGCCAGGCCUGCUGAAUCAAUGUUAAUGUGUUUUAUGAAAUGUUAACUCGCUGCAAAAGCUGCUCUUCCUGAUUAAAUAUUGACAGAGAGGCAUCAUGCUUUGGUGGGUUUCUGAAUGCAUCGAUCUCACCUGAACCUUGUACCUGCGCCAAAUCCCAACAGAACAGUUAUAAUGUUGGUAAUGAGGCUUUUCCUACUUCCAGCUUCUGACCGUCAACAAACAAAAUAAUAUUUUCCCACCUUGUGUUUCAUUAGUGGUGCAACGGAUCACAAAACUCACAGUUUGGAUGAUAUCGUGGUUUUGAGUCACGGAUCGGAUCAUUUUAUCGAUGAGCAAAAAGAAAAAGUUAGGAUUAAAUUGGCUCUGAUGUAGCCGUCUCUGUCGGUAUUCACCACUCUGUAGUCCCGCCCACAGCACUACCUGAUUGGUUACACGUAACGGCCUAACAACACUGAAGGCUGCUGUGAGCAGAGAGACCAAGCUGCUACGGUGAGCGAGCGGAGCGAUGCGUCAAAGGGAAACUACAAAUAUUACUGAAGCUGCAAUAAACAUCACAACCUUAUUGUCUAUUUGAACGAUGUCCCUACAGACUACAGGGUUUCACAGCGAAGGCUUUUAAAUUAGUCGCUCUCCCCUAACCCAGUCACUGCGCUUUAGAGUUAAACAUAGCAUGCAUCUGUC
Molecule: long non-coding RNA, 1429 nt
Organism: Micropterus dolomieu (smallmouth bass)
Lineage: Eukaryota; Metazoa; Chordata; Actinopteri; Centrarchiformes; Centrarchidae
Exons: 3
Source: RefSeq, a predicted model, not a curated record